CCUACGGGAGGCAGCAGUGGGGGAUAUUGCACAAUGGGGGAAACCCUGAUGCAGCGACGCCGCGUGUGGGAAGACGGUCCUCUGGAUUGUAAACCACUGUCCCCAGGGACGAAGAUGACGGUACCUGGGGAGGAAGCUCCGGCUAACUACGUGCCAGCAGCCGCGGUAAUACGUAGGGAGCGAGCGUUGUCCGGAAUUACUGGGUGAAAAGGGAGCGUAGGCGGGACUGCAAGUUGGGUGUCAAAUCUACCGGCUCAACCGGUAGCCGCACUGAAAACUGCAGUUCUUGAGUGAAGUAGAGGCAGGCGGAAUUCCUAGUGUAGCGGUGAAAUGCGUAGAUAUUAGGAGGAACACCAGUGGCGAAGGCGGCCUGCUGGGCUUUUACUGACGCUGAGGCUCGAAAGUGUGGGGAGCAAACAGGAUUAGAUACCCGGGUAGUC
Molecule: ribosomal RNA, 440 nt
Filed under: uncultured bacterium
Lineage: Bacteria
Description: partial 16S ribosomal RNA
Rfam family: Bacterial small subunit ribosomal RNA
Source: RNAcentral